RNAcentral lists this ribosomal RNA (500 nucleotides) under uncultured Glomus. RNAcentral describes it as "SSU rRNA". It matches the Rfam family "Eukaryotic small subunit ribosomal RNA", at positions 569 to 1073 of the family's 1831-position model. Lineage: Eukaryota; Fungi; Glomeromycota; Glomeromycetes; Glomerales; Glomeraceae. The record is from RNAcentral.
AGCAGCCGCGGUAAUUCCAGCUCCAAUAGCGUAUAUUAAAGUUGUUGCAGUUAAAAAGCUCGUAGUUGAAUUUCGGGAUCAAUAUGUCGGUCGUGCCUUCGGUACGUACUGGUAUCAUUGGUCUCUCCUUUCUGACGAACCAUGAUGUCAUUAAUUUGGUGUUAUGGGGAGUUAGGACUGUUACUUUGAAAAAAUUAGAGUGUUUAAAGCAGGCUUUAGCUUGAAUACAUUAGCAUGGAAUAAUGAAAUAGGACGUUCGAACCUAUUUUGUUGGUUUCUAGGAUCAACGUAAUGAUUAAUAGGGAUAGUUGGGGGCAUUAGUAUUCAAUUGUCAGAGGUGAAAUUCUUGGAUUUAUUGAAGACUAACUACUGCGAAAGCAUUUGCCAAGGAUGUUUUCAUUAAUCAAGAACGAAAGUUAGGGGAUCGAAGACGAUCAGAUACCGUCGUAGUCUUAACCAUAAACUAUGCCGACUAGGGAUCGGAUGAUGUUAAUUUUUAA